This 1812-nucleotide long non-coding RNA is filed under the name Gopherus agassizii (Agassiz's desert tortoise). Its description in RNAcentral is "lncRNA (ENSGAGG00000006179.1)". Lineage: Eukaryota; Metazoa; Chordata; Testudines; Testudinidae. The record is from RNAcentral.
CUGUAAUCCUUAUGGCUGUAAUUCCAGCUGCUGUUGCUACUCGUGCUCCCACAAGGGGGCAGUACAGAGCCUGGAGUGAGGGCAAAGACGCAGUUGCUAUUUCAGCCUCCUAGAGGGAGCGCAGGAAGGUGGUGCGCAUGCCCAUUAGCUGUUUGGAAGGUGGUGUGCAAAGCUCCAUUAAGGGCAGCAUCCCUGCAUGUGCCCACAUCUCCCCUUAGAGGCUGGGAGCUCUGUCAGGGUACAAAACUGGUCAGAUGCAGCCUUGACCUGCAGGGAGAAGACAGAGCUGCCAGGGGACACCGUGACUCAGCUGUGUGGUGGAUCUCAAUGUGGUUUCCUCUAAUUGCACCGGUUAUUUGGACUUUACUGGUCUGCAGCAGGCAGUGCUAUGCUAAGAUAGGUGUCACCUAGGACAUGAAACCUAAGGAUUUACCACGGAUCAAUGCUCUUUUGCCUGGUCAAUCAUCCCUGAAGUUUCCUAAAGCCUCGUGGAAUAAUUUACUCGGAGAUAUGGACAGCAGCUUUCAUUGCCACUGAACUUGACCAAAUGAGGCAUCUCAAGCAGCAGAGGGUGCUGCUCAUGAGAAUGCCAUCAGCUGAUUUGAUUUAUCCCUUUUACUAGAGGAACUUCUAUGACCCUGUCGCAUGAGUCCACAGAGCAGCUGUCAGUGCCCCUGGACCUGUUCUCCAAGAGGAAAUGUUUAUGCACUACAUUAAUUUUUCAGGCUUGCCUGAGGAGUCACUUGGCCUUUUGCUACCUCGUGCAUUAUUCAAACCAUGAUCAGCCCUAUGACUGAGUGACAGCAACCUCUCUGUCUCUGUUUCACAGAAACUCCACAUCAAACGGUGUCCAUCCAAGCCAAGGGAGGCCUUUGGAUAUAUUUGAAAACACAAUAAUGUAAGAGUUACAAAACAUACAAAGCUUCAGAGCAGCAACAGCUCUUCUCCUUCCUACAAAACAUCAUGUGAUCAAUACAGCUUAACUUCCCCACCAACAGACUCGAGUGAAUUUGAUGUUGAUGAAACGUGGUGGAUUGACAGCCCUGGGCUAGAUCUGCACUAGAGAUCUGAGCCAUUGGUAAUCUGACUGGUGCCAUUGCAUUUAGAGUAAAUUGGCUGAAAUUGGGAACAAGGGGCCAGUCGCCGUGGUGGGUGCAGCUGGUAAAGGUGUAUUGCGAAGUCUCAUUACAAUUGGGAAUGAUUAUGGUAAACUUCAGAGGAUGCACACAAAUACCUCUGAUUUAAGACCUUUUUCAAUUAUACAUUAAUAAUAAGUCUCCCUUAACUCAUGUGUUCAGUUUCUGUUACUUGAAAAUGUGGUGUUAAAGUGUAAAUAUUAUAGCCAGUUACUUCAUUUUCUCAUUCAUUUACUGUGUGUUGUGUGAUGUUAUGAUUAACUGACAUACCAUGUAAUAUAUAAUCAUUGUAUGUUGAAUAGACUGAAGUGGUAGGCUUAUAGAAGUAUUAGAUUGAUGAAUAAUUAGAAGGGCUAAGUGUGUAUUAGGUAUCUAAGUAAAUAGGGCUGAAACACAAGGCCUACAGGCUCAGGCCUGUAAGAUUUUAGCUUAGCUAUACUAGGCCUUACAAUUAAGAAAUGCUUGACAUAAGUAAGUGACGAAAGAAUAACCUGAUGCCAUAAGAUUACAGGACAAAAUGUACCAAUGGGUGAUACUGCGAAAAAUUAGCCGUAUGUUUCAUUUUAGAUAACAAAGUGCCCGAGAGGCACAUUCUUUCUAACACAUGCCUUACUACAGGUUUUGCGUCAGUGCUAACGAGAAUAAAAGGAACUGUACACAACCUAUGAAAAAUGCG